RNAcentral lists this ribosomal RNA (381 nucleotides) under uncultured eukaryote. RNAcentral describes it as "partial 18S ribosomal RNA". It matches the Rfam family "Eukaryotic small subunit ribosomal RNA", at positions 592 to 975 of the family's 1831-position model. The record is from RNAcentral.
CAAUAGCGUAUAUUAAAGUUGUUGCAGUUAAAAAGCUCGUAGUUGGAUUUCUGGUUGAAGCGACCGGUCGGACGUUGAUUCGUCUGCACUGGAGUCGGUUUUGGCCAUCCUCUAGGAAAGUGCGUCUGGUAUUAAGUUAUCGGGCGUAUGAUCCUGGUCUUUUACUGUGAAAAAAUUAGAGUGUUUAAAGCAGGCCUUCGCCUUGAAUACAUUAGCAUGGAAUAAUAAGAUAGGACUUUGGUCUAUUUUGUUGGUUUGCAGACCGAAGUAAUGAUUAAUAGGGAUAGUUGGGGGUAUUUAUAUUCCGAUGUCAGAGGUGAAAUUCUUAGAUUUUCGGAAGAUAAACUUAUGCGAAAGCAUUUACCAAGGAUGUUUUCAUUA